This 406-nucleotide ribosomal RNA is filed under the name uncultured bacterium. RNAcentral describes it as "partial 16S ribosomal RNA". It matches the Rfam family "Bacterial small subunit ribosomal RNA", at positions 30 to 526 of the family's 1533-position model. The record is from RNAcentral.
AUUGAACGCUGGCGGCAGGCCUAACACAUGCAAGUCGAACGAGUGGCGGACGGGUGAGUAAUGUCUGGGAAACUGCCUGAUGGAGGGGGAUCAACACUGGAAACGGUAGCUAAUACCGCAUACCCUCAGAUGUGCCCAGCUGGGAUUAGCUAGUUGGUGGGGUAACGGCUCACCAAGGCGACGAUCCAUAGCUGGUCUUAGAGGAUGACCAGCCACACUGGAACUGAGACACGGUCCAGACUCCUACGGGAGGCAGCAGUGGGGAAUAUUGCACGAUGGGCGCAAGCCUGAUGCAGCCAUGCCGCGUGUAUGAAGAAGGCCUUCGGGUUGUAAAGUACUUUCAGCGGGGAGGCGUUACCCGCAGAAGAAGCACCGGCUAACUCCGUGCCAGCAGCCGCGGUAAUUC